UACGUAGGGUGCAAGCGUUGUCCGGAAUUAUUGGGCGUAAAAGAGCUUGUAGGUGGUUUUGUCGCGUCUGCUGUGAAAAAUCCGAGGCUCAACCUCGGACUUGCAGUGGGUACGGGCAGACUAGAGUGUGGUAGGGGGAGACUGGAAUUCCCGGUGUAGCGGUGGAAUGCGCAGAUAUCAGGAGGAACACCGAUGGCGAAGGCAGGUCUCUGGGCCAUUACUGACACUGAGAAGCGAAAGCAUGGGGAGCGAACAGG
RNAcentral lists this ribosomal RNA (257 nucleotides) under uncultured bacterium. RNAcentral's name for it is "partial 16S ribosomal RNA". It matches the Rfam family "Bacterial small subunit ribosomal RNA", at positions 524 to 776 of the family's 1533-position model. The record is from RNAcentral.